Molecule: non-coding RNA, 1061 nt
Organism: Plectropomus leopardus (leopard coralgrouper)
Lineage: Eukaryota; Metazoa; Chordata; Actinopteri; Perciformes; Serranidae
Source: RefSeq, a predicted model, not a curated record
GAAAGUUAUCAGCUCUCAGAAGGCAGUCAGCGGAUCCUUCUUUCCAUGUAGUCAAAUGUGUGUGCUUGACUUAAAAUGUCUCCGAUAAAGAACUUUAAUCUGGUUUAUGAAUCUCUCAACGAAGAUGGCACUUUUUCUGAAGGAGAUACUAUCUCAGGCGCCGUGACUUUCACUUUGACAAAACAAACCAAAGUGAAGGGGCUGAUGGUGAAAGCCAAAGGGGACGCCAAUGUACACUGGACAGAGGGCAGCGGCGAAGACGAGACAUCGUACAGUGCGCACAAGAGAUACUUUAAACUCAAAGAGUAUCUGGUUCCAAAAAAUGCAAAUGAAGAGUGAGACACACCUCUCCUCAACUGAUGAACUGCUCUUCCCGAAGGAGUCCAUCACUUUAAGUUUAGGUUUAAAAUUCCACAAGGCGACAUGCCAUCAUCCUUCAGGGGGGCUCAUGGAAAAAUUGUCUACAUGCUUGAAGCAAAGAUGUCCAGGAGCUGGCGGUGGCCUACUGAAAUACAAACAGAGUUCAAAUUUGUUUCAAAGUCCCUUUCACACCCUGGCCACUUAAUGGUAAGUUGGACACUAGAAUGAAGCAUGUUAUGAAUUUGAUACACUAUUUACACUUUCUAGAUGAACUUCAAUAUUUGAAAGGAAAUUAUUUAAGAUACAUGACUGAAGAACCGGUCAGCUAAAAUUAAAAAAAAAGGGAUAGAGGGGUUUAGGGAAAGGCAGCAUUAACAAGUUAAGUUUGAAAACAGUUUCAUACAAAACGGCUGAAUGUUGCCCAAACAGAAGAAAAUGCUCUUUUGAAUAAAAAUGAAAUGGAGUAAGGUCUGCUACAAUGGCGCGCCCGUCCAAGUGGAUAGUGGUGAUGUCACACCCGCCGCAACCAACCCCUGAUCAUCCCCUUCACCCCCUAUAUUCCUGUCAAACCAGCAUGUGUUGCAAUACUCAGCUGGUGUCUGCACAGAAAACCAGAGAGAAAGAUGUUUUACAAAAGUCUGUGUAGGUGCAUUUUCUGACGCAACCCCCGGACAAAUUUGUAUAAAAGUAACAGCUAAACU